RNAcentral lists this long non-coding RNA (550 nucleotides) under Rattus norvegicus (Norway rat). RNAcentral describes it as "long non-coding RNA NONRATT014559". The record is from RNAcentral. Lineage: Eukaryota; Metazoa; Chordata; Mammalia; Rodentia; Muridae.
GCGGAGUAAACAAUGGCAGGGGCGGGGCUCGGCGCGGGGGUCCCGAGGCCGGAGCUGGGGAUCCCUGUCCCAGGCCUCUGGGAGAUGGGUCCGGACAAGGGAACUGAGCGAGCGGACGCCCGGGCGGCUCCCACGCGUGCACUUCCUGUCGCCGGCUGCGGGAGGAGAUGUCAAACACCUGCCUAGAACCUGGGAGUUUAGCAAAAUUGGCAAUGCACCUGCCGCUGACUUUGGACUGCCACCCCUACCCAAGCAAGCUGCUCCAGAAGAGCCGAUUUGACUCUUAAGGUCCAGGUCCAGUUCCCACCAGCCUUUCUACAGACAUACAGGGGUGAGUCUAGUUUGAGAACUCGAUUGUUCUCACACCGGAACCGGAACACAGAAGACUCCCUUAACCUUCUGCACACAUCGGGAAGGCAGGGCCAAUCUGAACCCCCGACAUGGGGAAGAUCACCAGGGGAUUACCCCUGCCUGGCUCCUGUCAGGUCUAGAGGCUCGAACCCAGGCCGGAGGAUGCUGGCGGCGGCCGUUGCCGGGCAACACGAUGUUU